GCCAGUGUAGUUAAGUGGUUCGAGUGUUGGAUAAGGACUCCAGGAGAGCAGGGUUCAAAUCCCUGCCCAGCCA
Molecule: non-coding RNA, 73 nt
Organism: Phrynosoma platyrhinos (Desert horned lizard)
Lineage: Eukaryota; Metazoa; Chordata; Lepidosauria; Squamata; Phrynosomatidae
Source: the annotation of a GenBank genome assembly